UGCUAUGUAAAUGCAAAUUAAUUUGCCUGCCGUUGAUUAUUUAAAAAUGCCAUGGAUCACCUUGGGGGAGAGCUGACCAAGUAUACGUGACUUGUCCUAGCUUAGCUCCUUCGGCAGGCAUGAUGCUGUUACGCUGUGUUUGCAUUCUUGUGUGGUGCUCCUUGCCAGGCUCUGUGGCUGCCAUAAGUUUGACCCAGCCGAGUUCUGCACUUGCGAAGCCAGGCAGCUCCGUCACUCUGGACUGUGUCGCCUCUGGGUACGCGAUCAAUGACGACCACAUGCACUGGAGCCGCCAGACCCAGGGAAAAGGCCUGGUGUGGAUAGCCGCCUUCAAAACAGGGGACACCACUUACAUUUCUAAUGACUUCAAAGGCCGCGUCACCCCCUCCACCAGCGGCUCCACUGCCAGGCUAAGGAUAGACGGGCUCACAGCUGCAGACACGGCUACUUACUACUGUUCCAGACACAGUGAUCGCCGCCCAACUUCCUCUCUUACAAUAUCCCCCUGGAACUGGCCUCAGUCUCACUGAGCACAUCUCUCUCUGCAGGGAAUUCACCCCCGGGGCGGAAGGUGCAGCAAAAGCUCCGUGCACCACUGGAUUCCAAAUACAUCGUCCGUGGUUCCUGGCCGCCCUGCUGUUUUGGCACAGGGCUUCGUUUCAGGCUCAGGGACGGCAAUUUUCACCUCCAAUUUUUCCAACUGGUGCAAGCCUGGAGGCAGCGUGACCUCCUGGCUGAGUUGUUGCCUGGCAAAUCAGGACACUUGGUUUCUGUUCCAGGCUCGUCCACUGAGCCAGAGUGUGUCCUUGAUCUCAGCUGCCUCAGUUUCCUUUCUCUGUCCUGUUUGUUUUGACUCCUCGAAGGCAGGACUGUCUGUUUGUACACACACAGAGGACUAGAGGCAGAU
This is a non-coding RNA of Chelonia mydas (Green sea turtle), 907 nucleotides long. The record is from the annotation of a RefSeq genome assembly. Lineage: Eukaryota; Metazoa; Chordata; Testudines; Cheloniidae.